RNAcentral lists this ribosomal RNA (380 nucleotides) under uncultured eukaryote. RNAcentral describes it as "partial 18S ribosomal RNA". It matches the Rfam family "Eukaryotic small subunit ribosomal RNA", at positions 592 to 976 of the family's 1831-position model. The record is from RNAcentral.
CAAUAGCGUAUAUUAAAGUUGUUGCAGUUAAAAAGCUCGUAGUUGGAUUUGUGGCGUACGGUGUGUUCCGGGCACUUGUUGUCUGAGUAACCUGCUGUUGCCAUCCUUGGGUGGAACCUGUGUGGCAUUAGGUUGUCGUGCAGGGGAUGCCCAUCAUUUACUGUGAAAAAAUUAGAGUGUUCAAAGCAGGCUUAUGCCGUUGAAUAUAUUAGCAUGGAAUAAUGAGAUAGGACUUUUUUGCUAUUUUGUUGGUUUGCGCAAGAAGGUAAUGAUUAAUAGGGACAGUUGGGGGUAUUCGUAUUCCAUUGUCAGAGGUGAAAUUCUUGGAUUUUUGGAAGACGAACUACUGCGAAAGCAUUUACCAAGGAUGUUUUCAUCAA